RNAcentral lists this ribosomal RNA (367 nucleotides) under uncultured bacterium. RNAcentral's name for it is "bacterial SSU rRNA". It matches the Rfam family "Bacterial small subunit ribosomal RNA", at positions 527 to 896 of the family's 1533-position model. The record is from RNAcentral.
GGAGGAUCCGAGCGUUAUCCGGAUUUAUUGGGUUUAAAGGGAGCGUAGGUGGACUGGUAAGUCAGUUGUGAAAGUUUGCGGCUCAACCGUAAAAUUGCAGUUGAUACUGUCAGUCUUGAGUACAGUAGAGGUGGGCGGAAUUCGUGGUGUAGCGGUGAAAUGCUUAGAUAUCACGAAGAACUCCGAUUGCGAAGGCAGCUCACUGGACUGCAACUGACACUGAUGCUCGAAAGUGUGGGUAUCAAACAGGAUUAGAUACCCUGGUAGUCCACACAGUAAACGAUGAAUACUCGCUGUUCGCGAUAUACAGUAAGCGGCCAAGCGAAAGCAUUAAGUAUUCCACCUGGGGAGUACGCCGGCAACGGUG